This 254-nucleotide ribosomal RNA is filed under the name uncultured bacterium. RNAcentral's name for it is "partial 16S ribosomal RNA". It matches the Rfam family "Bacterial small subunit ribosomal RNA", at positions 524 to 776 of the family's 1533-position model. The record is from RNAcentral.
UACGUAGGGUGCAAGCGUUAAUCGGAAUUACUGGGCGUAAAGCGUGCGCAGGCGGUUGUGCAAGACCGAUGUGAAAUCCCCGGGCUUAACCUGGGAAUGGCAUUGGUGACUGCACGGCUAGAGUGUGUCAGAGGGGGGUAGAAUUCCACGUGUAGCAGUGAAAUGCGUAGAGAUGUGGGAGGAAUACCGAUGGCGAAGGCAGCCCCCUGGGAUAACACUGACGCUCAUGCACGAAAGCGUGGGGAGCAAACAGG